GUUUUCCACAGAGAGGACGCCGUGGCGCCCGGGUGCAAGGCCAGCGGGCGCGGCAGCCGCGUCACCCACCUCCUGGGGUACCCGACGCAGAACGUCAGCCGCUCCCUGCGCCGCAAGUACGCGCCUCCCCCCUGCGGCGGCCCCGAGGACGUGGCCCUGGCGCCCUGCACCGCCGCCGCCGCCUGCGAAGCGGGCCCCUCCCCGGUCUACGUCAAGGUCAAGAGCGCGGAGCCGGCUGACUGCGCCGAGGGGCCGGUGCAGUGCAAGAACGGCCUCUUGCUCCAGCCCACACUGUGAAGAGCCUUGUGCCCACAGCUGUGCACAUCCUGGGCUUCCUCCACACCUUGUCCAUAAACUGCCCCUCAGCUACCUUCAGACCCAGGAUACAGACGCAGCCUCCAGAAGAAUAAAUGCUCCAUUAGCAGCUGGCUGGAGCUGGCUGAGGCUCUGGCUGGUGACUCUGGCCUCUGGUGUAGACUUCCCUCAGGUGAGUGCAUGGAUGAGAGCUCUACCUUCUCCUGACUGCCCAGGCCUCAGGACAACAGAGGCCCUUCCUUCAGGCUGCAUGCAGAACAGAUGCAGGUAGCCAUGAAGCCAAAUCUGGAAGGAGAUGAUGCUUCCUCUGAAGAUCAGAGAACAGAUGCAAAAACUAUUGCUCAAGGAAAAUAAAGUGAAAACGAGGAAAAGCA
RNAcentral lists this long non-coding RNA (689 nucleotides) under Homo sapiens (human). Its description in RNAcentral is "small nucleolar RNA host gene 28". Lineage: Eukaryota; Metazoa; Chordata; Mammalia; Primates; Hominidae. The record is from RNAcentral.